Molecule: long non-coding RNA, 2817 nt
Organism: Aegilops tauschii subsp. strangulata
Lineage: Eukaryota; Viridiplantae; Streptophyta; Magnoliopsida; Poales; Poaceae
Source: RefSeq, a predicted model, not a curated record
CCCAAUCUCCCCUCGAUCCCUCGCGCCGCCGCCGCCCCCGGCCCUGACCCCGCGCGCCCCCGCCCCGCCCCUGACCUCACGCGUCGCCGCCGCUGCCCCGACAACCCAAGGCGCCGCCGCCCCAAGAUGGGAAGGCAGCCGCCGCCGAGAAAGAAGCUCCGGGAAGGGCGGAAGAUGGGCACUGUGGCCGCCGGCGAGGAAGAAGAUUCGGGCGGAGAGGAAGAUGGCGACGGAUGCCGCGGACGAGCAAGGAGGGGAGGCGGCGGAGCGGUCGCCUCAUCUCCCUGUCCUGCGGCACUCCGGCGGCUGGAGCAAGGUAAGGCAGAGCACGGGACUAGGAGCGGCUGGAGGAGCUGAGUUUGGGCCCGUUCCGCAGCUCACCGGCGGAGAAGACCACGGCGGUGCUGGUCGGGUGACCACACUCGCCUCCUCUCGCGCUGCUCGUGGUCUCCAUCAAGCACGCACAAAAAAGACGGGCUGCAGGCAGUGAGAGGGACAGGAUUCGCCUCUAUCAAUGGAAUUCUUCCCCACGCAACUUAUCUGAACUGCUCCACCCCUACGCCUUCUUCCUCAUGCAGCAGGCAGUGCAGAUGUACGUAUUCUGAAUUUUGAAUCUUGUCUCCUGAACUACUCCUCGCCGCCACCACACCUGGAACCGGUUGUCGGUCAAUAGAAGGCUGUCUGUGUCCAUGCUCCGCUGAUCACCAAGUCGCACCCUCUGUACGUGGAGGAUGCCUUUAUUCUUUAUUUUGGAAAAUCUGAAAUUCUGAAGCAACCGUAUUGGUUUCACACAGGCACCAUCUUGGUAUUAACCAAAUCGAACAUCAACAAAAUAAAAGCAGACUACAAAGAUACUAAUGUGAACCUGUGUGCAUUAUAUAGAAAUUUUGGUUGUUAUUCCUUGUAGUUUUUAUCUUCCGAUACAUGUACAGAACUCAUGUUUUUCCUAUAGUAUUCAUCUUCCUGUACACGUGCAGCAUUGAUGCAGGGAAGAACAUCAUAUGGAAGACAGGCUCCAUUCAGUCAAUUUUUCAAAAAUACCAUAUGUAUACACAGAAGUUCGGCCUGGACAACCGCUUCAGUUCGAUGUCUGCACAGUGCAGCUUUGUUAUGCUCUUUUCAUGAUCAAACAAAAGCAUGUUGUUGUUUGUGUAGAUUUGUGUGCAUAAAGGUCAGAAAUAUAAUGGAGAAGGAGCAUGUAUGCGUGUGUGUGGUGGUGAGUUUUUUUUUUUUGCGGGGACUGGUGGUGAGGUUGACGUUCAAAAAAUGUGUGGUGAGGUGGUUUAGAAAAACAUGUGUGUGAUGGAGAAAUUCACUAGCAUUUUUAAUUGGGACACAAGUAAUAGCUUCUUUUGUGCAAACACAAGACAAAAAAUGCAUGUGUCUUUUAGUAAGAGAAAUAAAACAAAUGUUCAACGAUCUUCCCAUGAAAGUUAAUGCAUAUGAAAAAAGGAAAUUUGGAAGGUCAGGGGUGACGAACAGAGAAGUUCAUGUAUGAGUGUUGAGGAAAUGCUCAAGAAAAAAGAUAACACUGAAACACACAUGGAAAAAACAAAAAGAAAAGAAAAAGAAGGUCAGAUUAAGUUAAUCGAGACGUUCGAUGUUUAUGUAGCUAGAGGAAAACCUAAAAAAUGGUAACUCUGAAAGUUCAGAUUUAAAUAAAUUUUAAAGUUCGAAAAAAUUGAGAAAAAAAAGACACAUAGUUGUACAAGGAUUUUCCCCUGUUAAAAAAAACAAAAGGUUCAAAUUAAAUUAACAUAGCUAUUCGAUGGUUGUAAGAAAAAAAUAUUUUGUACGUUUCUAGAAAACCCAAUAAGGUCAAAUAAAAAAUGAAGUAGUUCGAAAAGAGUUAAAAAUGAAUUUCCCCCCAUUUAAAAAACACUAAAAGUUCAAAUAUAAAUAAUGGAGCGAUUGUUAUUAUUUAAACAAAAACGCUUGAGAGAAUUAUUUGUGCAAAGUGUGCAUGUUACAUUGGUGCUUGUUGUAAUCCGAAAAUUCAUUGAAAACAAGUAAAGUUCGUAUGUUUAAAAAAGCCUUAGAAAGCAAAAUGAAAAAACAAAAAAAAUGCUUGCGAGUUCUUUGCAAAAACCACAUGAAGUUCAAUAAGUAUAAUUUUUAGAGGUCAAAGUAAUAUGAGAACGCUGGAAGUUUGUAGAAGAAAAAUGCCGGCGGUGCAGUUGUUGUCAGCUACAUUGGUCGGAGCCCCUACUCCUCCAAGAAUCUGGCCAACCGCGCACCGCCGACAUGGAUUCGCACUAACAAGUUGAAAUUAAAAUAACAUAGAAGUUUGAAGUAUAUAAAAAACUCAAAUUUGUUGCAAGAAGUUCAAGUGCACCUCCGUGCAUGGUUCAAAAUUUAUAUCGUGGAACAUCCGACCUCAAAUUACAUGUUUUUAAAGGGCAAAAAAAUGCGACGUAUACACAAAAAUGUGACAUAAGUUCAUCGCGAAAACAACGAGAAGUUCAAGUACGGCAAGGAAUGCAUUUCAGGUGAGAAUAAAAAGUAUAGAAAAAUAAAAACUUAAAAUGUUUGUUGAAAAAAGUUGAAGUGCUCUGUCCGGUGAAGUUCAAAAAUUCUUGGGAGAGAGGUUCACCUUGUAUUUCCAUGUUCAAAAACACAAAAAAGAAAUUGUUUUUUGUGUUUAAAAAUAAUUCUCUCAAUCCUCAAAGAAGUUCAAUUAUUAUUUGGGACCAAUUUGAUUUCAAAAAGAAAAUAAAAAAUUCAAAUUAUUAAAAUGGGAAAAGUUCAUGUACUACAUGGUGUGUGUUUAAUAUGAGAAAACUGAAUUAAAAGGCAAGGUCCAAAUUAAAAAAAAAA